Molecule: long non-coding RNA, 436 nt
Organism: Frieseomelitta varia
Lineage: Eukaryota; Metazoa; Arthropoda; Insecta; Hymenoptera; Apidae
Exons: 3
Source: RefSeq, a predicted model, not a curated record
UUCAUACAUUCCUCUGGUAUUAUAGUGUCCUUUUUCUUUUCUUUUUUUUUCUUUUUCCGCUAAUGCGCUAAUGCGCCACAGUCAAAAUCGAGCUGAGACAACGAGAGAAAAGGAGACGAGAGAAACGCUAGCCGAGAAAAGUAUCGGCCUAGCGGACAGCUAGCUUAGAGAAUGUCUCGCGAGUCGAGUUCUCAGAAUCUUUCGGCCGUGAACGGCUGUAUUCGCGAGAGAGCGAGAGAGAGAGAGAGAGAGAAAGAGAGAGAGAGAGAUGGGGAGGGAAAAAGACGGCGGAAGAGAAGAAAAGAGAAACGGUGUACGGCCGUGUAACGACGCGAUCGAAAUCAAUGCGAAAGGAAUGCUCGUCUUCCGUUGAUAACGGAAGGCGGUUCUUGUCGCGAAGAAGGUUCCGAGUUACGGAAGAGAACACUCUGAACUC